GGCCUAACACAUGCAAGUCGAACGGCAGCGCGGGGCAACCUGGCGGCGAGUGGCGAACGGGUGAGUAAUAUAUCGGAACGUGCCCUGGAGUGGGGGAUAACGCAGCGAAAGUUGCGCUAAUACCGCAUACGAUCUAAGGAUGAAAGCGGGGGAUUCGCAAGAACCUCGUGCUCCUGGAGCGGCCGAUAUCUGAUUAGCUAGUUGGUGGGGUAAAGGCCUACCAAGGCAUCGAUCAGUAGCUGGUCUGAGAGGACGACCAGCCACACUGGAACUGAGACACGGUCCAGACUCCUACGGGAGGCAGCAGUGGGGAAUUUUGGACAAUGGGCGCAAGCCUGAUCCAGCAAUGCCGCGUGAGUGAAGAAGGCCUUCGGGUUGUAAAGCUCUUUUGUCAGGGAAGAAACGGUUGAGGCUAAUAUCCUUUGCUAAUGACGGUACCUGAAGAAUAAGCACCGGCUAACUACGUGCCAGCAGCCGCGGUAAUACGUAGGGUGCAAGCGUUAAUCGGAAUUACUGGGCGUAAAGCGUGCGCAGGCGGUUUUGUAAGUUUGUCGUGAAAUCCCCGGGCUCAACCUGGGAAUUGCGAUGAAGACUGCAAGGCUAGAAUCUGGCAGAGGGGGGUAGAAUUCCACGUGUAGCAGUGAAAUGCGUAGAGAUGUGGAGGAACACCGAUGGCGAAGGCAGCCCCCUGGGUCAAGAUUGACGCUCAUGCACGAAAGCGUGGGGAGCAAACAGGAUUAGAUACCCUGGUAGUCCACGCCCUAAACGAUGUCUACUAGUUGUCGGGUUUUAAUUAACUUGGUAACGCAGCUAACGCGUGAAGUAGACCGCCUGGGGAGUACGGUCGCAAGA
Molecule: ribosomal RNA, 852 nt
Filed under: uncultured Oxalobacteraceae bacterium
Lineage: Bacteria; Pseudomonadati; Pseudomonadota; Betaproteobacteria; Burkholderiales; Oxalobacteraceae
Description: bacterial SSU rRNA
Rfam family: Bacterial small subunit ribosomal RNA
Source: RNAcentral